This 744-nucleotide long non-coding RNA is filed under the name Homo sapiens (human). Its description in RNAcentral is "non-protein coding VPS33B-DT:29". The record is from RNAcentral. Lineage: Eukaryota; Metazoa; Chordata; Mammalia; Primates; Hominidae.
AGAUGGAGUCAAGUCAAUCUGUUUGUAUACCAGAUACAUCUAUGAUAUACAUGCAGCUACUAUCUGAUUAUGUAUCAAUUAAAUAGAUCAUAAAUGUGGAACGAUGGGGACUUUGAGAGAUUUGUAACUGAAGCUGCCUUCAUGCUUGUUAGAAUGCUGGGGUGGAAGAGUUCCCAGUUUUAAAGGAGAAGUACAAGAAGACCUGUAAUUGUUAGCAAGAUAUACAGAACACAGUGCACACAGCAGCGCACUUCUCAAGUCAGCUCCAGGUUCAAGCUCAAAGGCCUAAAGUUUUGCAAACAUCUGGUGAAGAGGAAGAUUUUUGAGACUCUCCCAGCCUAUUACAUAAAGGAAACAUAACCGAGAAUUUUGUCUAAAGGUUUUCAUUUGAAACAAAGCAAGAGCUUCUUUUCCCCACUCCGAAUUAAAACACAGCGCAACAGGGGCCACAUUUAUUUGGCAGGACAGUACCAAUAUGUGAACAUCCUCCUCCUCACUGCCGUUGGGGUGACUUGACUCAUAAGCAGCUGUUCUUACACAAAAUAUUAACCCGAACUGCUAGUGUCACACAGAAGGAAGUGGUCUUGAUUGUGUAUGUGGGCCAGCAUGUUCUACAAAUGCUGAAAGGUGGGAGAAGCACAAAUACAACCCACUCUUUAAAAAAACUAAAUAAUUCAAAGUAAAAUUUUCUAUCCCCGCCCCCUCCCCACCCUUGCCUUCUCCAAUAAUAAAAAGUAGAAUCCA